UACGAAGGGGGCUAGCGUUGCUCGGAAUCACUGGGCGUAAAGCGCACGUAGGCGGAUUGCUAAGUCAGGGGUGAAAUCCUGGAGCUCAACUCCAGAACUGCCUUUGAUACUGGCGAUUUUGAGUCCGGGAGAGGUGAGUGGAACUGCGAGUGUAGAGGUGAAAUUCGUAGAUAUUCGCAAGAACACCAGUGGCGAAGGCGGCUCACUGGCCCGGUACUGACGCUGAGGUGCGAAAGCGUGGGGAGCAAACAGG
Molecule: ribosomal RNA, 253 nt
Filed under: uncultured bacterium
Lineage: Bacteria
Description: partial 16S ribosomal RNA
Rfam family: Bacterial small subunit ribosomal RNA
Source: RNAcentral